Molecule: ribosomal RNA, 1121 nt
Filed under: uncultured bacterium
Lineage: Bacteria
Description: bacterial SSU rRNA
Rfam family: Bacterial small subunit ribosomal RNA
Source: RNAcentral
CCCAUUAGCUAGACGGCGGGGUGACGGCCCACCGUGGCGAUGAUGGGUAGCCGGCCUGAGAGGGUGUACGGCCACAUUGGAACUGAGACACGGUCCAGACUCCUACGGGAGGCAGCAGCUAAGAAUCUUCCGCAAUGGGCGAAAGCCUGACGGAGCGACGCCGCGUGAACGAAGAAGGCCGUGAGGUUGUAAAGUUCUUUUCGGGAGGGGGAACGAGGCCGCCAGGCAAUGGGCGGUCGAUGACGUGAAUCCCGGAAUAAGCCCCGGCUAACUACGUGCCAGCAGCCGCGGUAACACGUAGGGGGCGAGCGUUGUUCGGAAUCAUUGGGCGUAAAGGGCGUGCAGGCGGCCGCCAAAGUCCGGCGUGAAAGACCCAGGCUCAACCUGGGGGGUGCGCCGGAUACUGGGCGGCUCGAGUACAGGAGGGGACGGCGGAAUUCCAGGUGUAGGGGUGAAAUCUGUAGAUAUCUGGAGGAACACCGAUGGCGAAGGCAGCCGUCUGGCCAUGUACUGACGCUGAGGCGCGAAGGUGCGGGGAGCAAAGGGGUUUAGAUACCCUGGUAGUCCGCACAGUAAACGAUAGGGCAGGCGGCGGGGGCAACCUCGUGCCCGCAGUCAACGCAUUAAAAGCCCCGCCCGGGGAGGAUGCCCGCAAGGGGGAAACUCAAAGGAAUUGACGGGGGCCCGCCCAAGCGGUGGAGCAUGUGGUUUAAUUCGAUGAUACGCGAGAAACCUUACCAGGGCUUGACAUGCGCCGGGAGGGCGUCGAAAGGAGCGCGCCCCUCGGGGCCGGCGCACAGGUGCUGCAUGGCUGUCGUCAGCUCGUGCUGUGAAGUGUUGGGUUAAGUCCCGCAACGAGCGCAACCCCCGCCGUCUGUUGCCACCACCUCGGGUGGGCACUCAGGCGGGACCGCCGGUGACAAACCGGAGGAAGGUGGGGAGGACGUCAAGUCAUCAUGGUCCUUAUGUCUUGGGGUACACACGUGCUACAAUGGCCGGUACAGAGCGCAGCGAGGCCGCGAGGCCGAGCGAAUCGCCCAAAGCCGGUCCCAGUACGGAGUGGAGUCUGCACCUCGACUCCACGAAGUAGGAAUCGCUAGUAAUCACGCAUCAGCAUGGCG